GCUAUUAAUUUGACUGUACCAUUUGAAUAAGUAACGACUAACUAUGUGCCAGCAGUCGCGGUAAUACAUAGGUUGCAAGCGUUAUCCGGAUUCAUUGGGCGUAAAACAAGCGCAGGCCGAUUAGAAAGUCUGGUGUUAAAAGCAAUUGCUUAACGAUUGUAUGCAUUGGAAACUUCUAGUCUAGAGUUUGGUAGAGAGUCCUGGAACUCCAUGUGGAGCGGUGAAAUGCGUAGAUAUAUGGAAGAACACCAGAGGCGAAGGCGAGGACUUGGGCCAAUACUGACGCUUAGGCUUGAAAGUGUGGGGAGCAAAUAGGAUUAGAUACCCUAGUAGUCCACACUGUAAACGAUGGAUGUUAAGUGUCGGAGCGAAUACUUCGGUGCUGCAGUUAACACAUUAAACAUCCUGCCUGAGUAGUACAUUCGCAAGAAUGAAACUCAAACGGAAUUGACGGGGACCCGCACAAGUGGUGGAGCAUGUUGCUUAAUUCGACGGUACACGAAAAACCUUACCUAGACUUGACAUCUUGGGCGAAGCUAUAGAAAUAUAGUGGAGGUCAACCCAAUGACAGGUGGUGCAUGGUUGUCGUCAGCUCGUGUCGUGAGAUGUUGGGUUAAGUCCCGCAACGAGCGCAACCCUUAUCGUUAGUUACUUUGUCUAACGAGACUGCCAACGUAAGUUGGAGGAAGGUGGGGAUGACGUCAAAUCAUCAUGCCCCUUAUGUCUAGGGCUGCAAACGUGCUACAAUGGCCAAUACAAACAGUUGCAAAUCCGUAAGGUGGAGCUAAUCUGUAAAGUUGGUCUCAGUUCGGAUUGAGGGCUGCAAUUCGCCCUCAUGAAGUCGGAAUCACUAGUAAUCGCGAAUCAGCCAUGUCGCGGUGAAUACGUUCUCGAGUCUUGUACACACCGCCCGUCAAACUAUGAGAGCUGGUAAUAUCUAAAACCGUGUUGCUAACCGUAAGGAAGCGCAUGUCUAGGGUAGGUAAGGUUUUUCGUGUACCGUCGAAUUAAGCAACAUGCUCCACCACUUGUGCGGG
RNAcentral lists this ribosomal RNA (1037 nucleotides) under viral metagenome. Its description in RNAcentral is "bacterial SSU rRNA". It matches the Rfam family "Bacterial small subunit ribosomal RNA", at positions 460 to 1533 of the family's 1533-position model. The record is from RNAcentral.